CUUCCUUCCUUAUAUUCUGGCUCCAUUACUAGACUUUAUAUCUUCAGGGAUCCUAGUCGGAUUCCUUUCCACUGUGCCACAAAGGGAACUCCCAGGGGGGAUCAUUCUUAGUCCGGGGGCUGGCUGGCUGUGGGCUGCGGAGGUGCCGUACCCAGGCUGCACCCCUUUUCUCCUCCGUGCGCUAGCCCAGGGGUUCAUAUCUUCACAGGCUAAGUGCUAAGGGCAAGACAAGAAGCACACAGCAGAGCACUUGGUGAAACCUGUCUGUGCACGUUUGCUAGCAUCUCAUUGGUCAAAGUAAGUCACAUGACUGAACUCAGCCCCGCAUUGCCGGAAGUAUAGCUUAUCUCUUGAUGGAAGGAACGGCGGAGGCACUUUGCAAAAAACGUGCAGACCGGGAGGGAUGGAUAAAUUGGGACCAUUAAGGUGAGUAAUGUAUCACCUCUAGAGUUUCUUAUUAUUACUCUUCUUUGAAACGUUUUACUGGCUCUUUCUGCAAACAUAUUCCUAUUUAUUUAUGUAUUUAUUUAUUUUGCUUUUUAGGGCUGCACCGGGCAUAUGGAGGUUCCCGGGCUAAGGGUUGAAUCCGAGCGGCCAACAUCACAGCCAUAGCAACGCCAGAUCUGAGCCACGUCUGUGACCUACACUACAGCUCAUCUCCACGCUGGAUCCUUAACCCACUGAGCGAGGCUGGGGAUGGAAGCCGCGUACUCAUGGAUACUAAGUUGUGUUAGCUACAGCUGAGCCGGGAUGGGAACUCCAGCUUUCUGGCAUUUAUUUUUCUGAAUAUUUUCUAUUCGAGAUCAGUUGAAUAUGUGGGUGUGGAACCCCGUGGAUAUUGGGUUCUGACUGGAACUAUUUUUCAGGCAGCAAGUAAGGCCAGCUCUUUACGAGAAUGCAAGCUUAAGCUCUGCAAGGCCAAGGAUUGUCCCUUGUUGAUGUUUUAUCCCUCGUCAGCUCCAACCUGUGGCCAAGUUCCUGGCAGAAGUUCCUGGACCAUGGAUAGAACCUGUGCCAUGGCCACCACUCAAGCCUCAGCAGGGACCAUGCUGGAUCCUUAACUUGCUGCACCGCCAGGGAGCUCUGCCCUGCAGCUUUGCUUGGUUUAAGCCCAUCAGGGCCUCUGAUCCACUAUGAGAUCCAAGCAUGGUAGAGACAGGGAGGCAUCUUGAAACUCUUCAAUCCAGCUUCACCCUCUUGCAGGUGAGGAAACUGAGACAUCUGGGUGUACGUUACGCGUCAUUCCGUUAAACAGAGGCUGAGCAGCGGGAUCGGGCCUGUUGUCUGGUUCCCAGGACCGUGUGCCGUGUUGUGCAGAACCUGCAUCCUCUCUGUUCUCUUUGGGCCUCAGCAGUGGUUCUGAGUCCGGAUGCUUCGCCCGAUGACAGCCAAUGAGCAUGGGAUUGCGAUGAUUAAGCUGCCUUAUCCAUUAGCUGGAAAGCAAAAGAAGAAAGGGCAACAGACAGGUGCCUUUGUUUAUUCUACACCUGUCUACUGAGUGCUACCCGAGUCUGUACUUCGCUAGGCCCGAGGACACAGCAGAGGACGAGGAUGUGAAACUCACCAGUGACUGGGAAGCAGAGUCCCGAGAGAAAGUUUGAAGCAGAAGCUCUGAAGCCAGCAGAGGAAACUGGGAAGGAACAUGCAGAAAUGUCAGAGGGGAAUCACAGGGGCAUGAUGUCCUGGAAACUACAGGAGGAAAGUGUUCAAGAAAGUUCUCUGGGAGUAAGUUGGCUUGAGGAGCAGGGGUGGUGUGUCCUGCUCCAUAUAGUCCGUGGAGACAUAGCCCUUUUACGCUGUGGCUCUGUAAUACCUCUGCACUUUGAACUCGAAGCUGAAUCGCCAGCAUCAGGCCUGCAGAUGGUGGAAGAGGAAGGAUCACCGGUGACAGCUUCUUCAUGGACCAGUGUCCUUCACCAACAUUCAACUGGCUGGAGCUUAAUCCCAUUGCGACGCCCAACAGCAAGGGAGGCUGUGACUUGUAGUCUGAAUCAUCCCUAGAAGGUGGUCCACAGGCUGGAGAAGCCCAAGGGAAGAAGGAUGCUGAGUUACGAUGGGUGGUCCUGAUGGUGCAAAGGCAGGGAAUGGACCGAGUAUCCAGGGUGAAUUUCCUGGCAGGAGAGGAGACGAUAACAAGGCUCCGAAGAGAAAAAGAGAAAGGAGAACAAAGGAAAACACUGGUUGACACCACUCCAGAAAAGCUAUCUGACUGAUAUUUGCCAUGAUUGUGUCACAUGGUGAGUUUAGGAGUUCCCAUCAUGGCGCAGUGGUCAACGAAUCCGACUAGGAACCAUGAGGUUGUGGGUUUGAUCCCUGUCCUUGCUCAGUGGGUUAAGGAUCCGGCAUUGCCGUGAGCUGUGGUGUAGGUCGAAGACACAGUUUGGAUCCCGACUUGCUGUGGCUGUGGUGUAGGCUUGCAGCAACAGGUCCAAAUUGACCCCUAGCCUGGGAAUCUCCAUAUGCCACGGGUGCAGCCCUAAAA
Molecule: long non-coding RNA, 2482 nt
Filed under: Sus scrofa (pig)
Lineage: Eukaryota; Metazoa; Chordata; Mammalia; Artiodactyla; Suidae
Description: lncRNA (ENSSSCG00055015974.1)
Source: RNAcentral